This 429-nucleotide ribosomal RNA is filed under the name Gemmatimonadota bacterium. Its description in RNAcentral is "Gemmatimonadetes bacterium partial 16S ribosomal RNA". It matches the Rfam family "Bacterial small subunit ribosomal RNA", at positions 355 to 776 of the family's 1533-position model. The record is from RNAcentral. Lineage: Bacteria; Pseudomonadati; Gemmatimonadota.
UAGGGAAUCUUCGGCAAUGGACGAAAGUCUGACCGAGCAACGCCGCGUGAGUGAAGAAGGUUUUCGGAUCGUAAAACUCUGUUGUUAGAGAAGAACAAGGACGUUAGUAACUGAACGUCCCCUGACGGUAUCUAACCAGAAAGCCACGGCUAACUACGUGCCAGCAGCCGCGGUAAUACGUAGGUGGCAAGCGUUGUCCGGAUUUAUUGGGCGUAAAGCGAGCGCAGGCGGUUUCUUAAGUCUGAUGUGAAAGCCCCCGGCUCAACCGGGGAGGGUCAUUGGAAACUGGGAGGCUUGAGUGCAGAAGAGGAGAGUGGAAUUCCAUGUGUAGCGGUGAAAUGCGUAGAUAUAUGGAGGAACACCAGUGGCGAAGGCGGCUCUCUGGUUUGUAACUGACGCUGAGGCUCGAAAGCGUGGGGAGCAAACAGG